CCUACGGGAGGCAGCAGUAAGGGAUAUUGGUCAAUGGGGGAAACCCUGAACCAGCAACGCCGCGUGAGGGAAGACGGUUUUCGGAUUGUAAACCUCUGACCUCUGUGAAGAUGAUGACGGUAGCAGAGGAGGAAUCUCCGGCUAACUACGUGCCAGCAGCCGCGGUAAUACGUAGGGAGCGAGCGUUGUCCGGAUUUACUGGGUGUAACGGGUGCGUAGGCGGCUUGGCAAGUCAGUAGUGAAAUCCAUGGGCUUAACCCAGGAACUGCUAUUGAAACUGUCGGGCUUGAGUGAGGUAGAGGUAGGCGGAAUUCGCGGGGGAGGGGUGAAAUGCGUAGAGAUGGGGAGGAACACCAGUGGCGAAGGCGGCCUACUGGGCUUUAACGGACGCUGAGGCACGAAAGCGUGGGUAGCAAACAGGAUUAGAUACCCUAGGAGUC
Molecule: ribosomal RNA, 440 nt
Filed under: uncultured bacterium
Lineage: Bacteria
Description: partial 16S ribosomal RNA
Rfam family: Bacterial small subunit ribosomal RNA
Source: RNAcentral